CGCAUCUGUGCAUGCAGCAUAUCAAUAAGCGGAGGAAAAGAAACUAACAGGGAUUCCCCUUAGUAACGGCGAGUGAAGCGGGAAGAGCUCAAAUUUGAAAUCUUCAAGGUUUUACCUUGACGAAUUGUAGUUUAAAGAAGUGUUUUCUGUUGAAGUUUUGGUAAAAGUUCUUUGGAAUAGGACAUCAUAGAGGGUGAGAAUCCCGUAUUUGACCAUUAUUUUCAGCUGUGUGAUACACUUUCAAAGAGUCGGAUUGUUUGGGAAUGCAGUCCAAAAUGGGUGGUAAAUUUCAUCUAAAGCUAAAUAUUGGCGAGAGACCGAUAGCGAACAAGUACCGUGAGGGAAAGACUGAAAAGAACUUUGAAAAGAGAGUUAAACAGUACGUGAAAUUGUCAAAAGGGAAGCGUUUGACACCAGUGUUGUUUUCUCGAAAAUCAAUUAAAAAGAGUUAGAUUUUGUUGUGUAUUGACCUUAACAGCUUGCAUUUCAAUUUUCUUGCUUUUUUUAAUGCACUUUUCGUUUAACAAGUCAACAUCAGUUUCUUUUGUUGUAAAAAGGUCAUUGGAAGGUGGCUUUCUUUUCGGAGAAAGUGUUUAUAGCCUUUGACUCCUGCAAUCGGAGAGACUGAGGUCUGCAGCGUAGAUCCUUCGGGGUUAGAUACAUUUGUGCUAAGUUAUAGCUUUUUAUAGACAACUUGUUGACUAUGAUUAGUCUUGUAGCUUACUCGCUUAUGCUAUUUUACCUACGCUUAGGAUGUUGAUGUGAUACUGCGAGCA
RNAcentral lists this ribosomal RNA (776 nucleotides) under uncultured Neocallimastigales. RNAcentral's name for it is "partial large subunit ribosomal RNA". It matches the Rfam family "Eukaryotic large subunit ribosomal RNA", at positions 26 to 629 of the family's 3401-position model. Lineage: Eukaryota; Fungi; Neocallimastigomycota; Neocallimastigomycetes; Neocallimastigales. The record is from RNAcentral.